UGGGGAAUUUUGGACAAUGGGCGCAAGCCUGAUCCAGCCAUGCCGCGUGCGGGGAGAAGGCCUUCGGGUUGUAAACCGCUUUUGUCAGGGAAGAAAUCUUCUGAGUUAAUACCUCGGGAGGAUGACGGUACCUGAAGAAUAAGCACCGGCUAACUACGUGCCAGCAGCCGCGGUAAUACGUAGGGUGCAAGCGUUAAUCGGAAUUACUGGGCGUAAAGCGUGCGCAGGCGGUUUUGUAAGACAGAGGUGAAAUCCCCGGGCUCAACCUGGGAACUGCCUUUGUGACUGCAAGGCUUGAGUGCGGCAGAGGGGGAUGGAAUUCCGCGUGUAGCAGUGAAAUGCGUAGAUAUGCGGAGGAACACCGAUGGCGAAGGCAAUCCCCUGGGCCUGCACUGACGCUCAUGCACGAAAGCGUGGGGAGCAAACAGGAUUAGAUACCCUGGUAGUCCACGCCCUAAACGAUGUCAACUGGUUGUUGGGAAGGUUCCUUCUCAGUAACGUAGCUAACGCGUGAAGUUGACCGCCUGGGGAGUACGGCCGCAAGGUUGAAAC
RNAcentral lists this ribosomal RNA (552 nucleotides) under uncultured bacterium. Its description in RNAcentral is "partial 16S ribosomal RNA". It matches the Rfam family "Bacterial small subunit ribosomal RNA", at positions 355 to 900 of the family's 1533-position model. The record is from RNAcentral.